Molecule: long non-coding RNA, 389 nt
Filed under: Homo sapiens (human)
Lineage: Eukaryota; Metazoa; Chordata; Mammalia; Primates; Hominidae
Description: HSALNT0336766
Source: RNAcentral
CAGAGUCAUGAUUUAAAGCUUCAAGCAUAUGAUUAUGAGAUGGUGGUUCUCAACAUUUACCACAACCUCCCAGCAAACCACACAGCAGUCAACUCUCAAGAUUUCUUCCAGGAGGGUAAAGGGAUUUUUCUCUUCACAUGCCAUCCAACUCCAUGGGAAAACAUUAGCAGUGACAAAUGACUCUGGAUGAAUGCUUGAAUCCGAGAGGAAAAGACAGUGAGAGAGCAAGAGCAGAUUGAGAAGCAGAAGAGUGAGUCGCAAAAAGAGAAAAUGACAGAAAUGGAGCACCCUGGGUGAAGGAUUUCUACUGUAAAUGCUUCAAAUCAUCAUCAUGGGGGAGAAGAGCACAGCAGUAUUUCCUUCCAAAAUUCUGUUUUCCUAGAAUCCCA